CGGCCCACGGAGCUCCUAAAGGCUCGCCCUCGCUCGCCUUGCCUGUUUUAUGACGCUCCGUGGGCCUG
Molecule: microRNA precursor, 68 nt
Filed under: Mus pahari (shrew mouse)
Lineage: Eukaryota; Metazoa; Chordata; Mammalia; Rodentia; Muridae
Description: microRNA 7655 (MGP_PahariEiJ_G0007304.1)
Source: RNAcentral